AACCAGGACCUGCGGCAUACCUUACAGAGUCACCCCUACCCACACCUUCGUGAUAAGUGGAUCACGGGUGCGUAACGCGUGGGAACCUGCCCUUAGGUUCGGAAUAACUCCCCAACACGGGUGCUAAUACCCGAUAAUGUCUUCGGACCACAGGUUUAUCGCCUUUGGAUGGGCCCGCGUUGUAUUAGCUAGUUGGUAGGGUAAAAGCCUACCCAGGCGACGAUCCAUAGCUGGUCUGAGAGGAUGAUCAGACACACUGGGACUGAGACACGGCCCAGACUCCUACGGGCGGCAGCAGUGGGGAAUAUUGGACAAUGGGCGAAAGCCUGAUCCAGCAAUGCCGCGUGAGUGAUGAAGGCCUUAGGGUUGUAACGCUCUUUUACCCGGGAUGAUAAUGCCAGUACCGGGAGAAUAGGCCACGGCUAACUCCGUG
This 433-nucleotide ribosomal RNA is filed under the name uncultured bacterium. RNAcentral describes it as "partial 16S ribosomal RNA". It matches the Rfam family "Bacterial small subunit ribosomal RNA", at positions 36 to 507 of the family's 1533-position model. The record is from RNAcentral.